AGAAAUCACACACCUUGGCCAAAAUCAGUUUAUUUCCCAACAUCGGAAGCAAAAGAAACUUAUCAACAGCAAAUAUUUUUGAAGAUUUCAUCAAACCCAAAAGCUUAAAAUGAAAAACCUUAUCGCAACUGCAUUUUUUAUAAUCGUUGUCAUCGCUUUCUCGUCGGGUGAAAGUCAACCAGAUGCUUCGCCACAGUUGGAAUUACAACCAGAACUAAAAACAGAGCAAAAAAAUACCCUUGCUUCAGCCGAUGCCAAUCCACAAGGAGAUAAGACCGAAACUGAUGCAGAGCGUGCAAAACGAUUCAUUUUUUGUGCAUUAGGCAAAUAAAACGGUGGUUUGUGAUCACAAUAAAAUUAUAUUCAAUUAAUAUGGCGUCAAAAUUUAAAAGGAGCAAAGUGUGGGCAAAUAAAACAAUUCGAUACAUUUUUUCAAUAUAUACAAAAUUAACCUCAAUUAACGUAUAUUCACGCCUUCCAGACUAAUCAUUUGUACAAAGUUACAAAAUAUAAAGCCGCUAUUAAGUUACUAGCCA
Contarinia nasturtii (swede midge) is the source of this 536-nucleotide long non-coding RNA. RefSeq lists it as uncharacterized. The record is from RefSeq and is a predicted model, not a curated record. The transcript is spliced from 2 exons. Lineage: Eukaryota; Metazoa; Arthropoda; Insecta; Diptera; Cecidomyiidae.